Molecule: RNA transcript, 2371 nt
Organism: Brachypodium distachyon (stiff brome)
Lineage: Eukaryota; Viridiplantae; Streptophyta; Magnoliopsida; Poales; Poaceae
Exons: 7
Source: RefSeq, a predicted model, not a curated record
AAGGCCCACGCGUGCCGAAGAAGGAACCCCCUAACGCGCCAAAUCUCCCAAAGAGCGCCAGAAUCCCCCAAAGAGCCCGAGGUACGGAAGCGCGGCGCCGGCGCACCCACCGGGAGAGACUCUCGCCGCCACAGAAGAGACGAAGCCGGAAGGGGCUGCAGCCAUCGAGGAGCGCAAGCCAUGAAGUUUAAGGCGUCCUUCACAGAUGACGGCAUCUCCCUCCUCGAUAAGCGGUUCCUUCCGGCCAUGGACAAGGUGGGCCGCGUCUGCCACGUCUACUUCACCCCCACGCACGCCAUGCUCCUCCACAACCUCCUCGGCUCCACAGGGCCCGACGGCGGCGGGCCGCAGUGCGUCGCGCAGUUCGCCAAGGACCUCCUCUUCCGCGAGUACAACGUGUCGUCGCGCGAUCGUAACCGCGUCGCCUUCACCGUCGACAUUGCGCUGCUCCACCGCGCCCUUCGAAGCGCGCUUGCCGUUCAAGCGCAGUCGUCGGCUGCUGGAGACGCACCCGCGGCUAUUCAGGUGAAGCUCGUCAACAAGCAGACCGCCGGGUCCCGAUCUGCUGCUCCGUUUCUCAUGUUCGAGACCAAGGGUGCUCGCUCCGCUGUCGUGCAGGACGUGCCUAUCUCAAGGCCACUGUCAUCUUCCGAUGUUGGCCGCUUGCAGGCUGCCCUUGACGCCGCCCAAGAGCUCCCUGAGACUCUAGUCCAGGUUCCAGAUCUGCCACAGUUACAGAGUUUGGUUGAUCGUCUAAAAAAUAUUGGCGAUCUGCUGACUGUAGCCAUUACCCAAUACGGUGAUCUCCACCUACAAGUUUCUACUUCUCUUGUUACCGUUGGUUCAGAAUUCAGGAGGCUUCGGAUCCUUGGCGUUCGUGCAAAUGCACCUGUUGGUGAUCAAAAUCUGAGUGCUACCACUCGAAUGGAUAUGGCAGUAGAGAGAGGGGAAGCACUUUCAGUGCAAGUGAAUAUGAAGCACCUAGUUAAGAGCCUACAAUGUAAUUUGGCCAAGCCAGAUUGUACCUUCUAUGGCAUUGCUCCUCAGGGUGCUUGCUUGACGGUGAUAUUUCAGUAUUUCAUUCCAGGAACACGGUUGAUGGACAAAUCCAUUACCUUCUACUGUAGGCUUCCAGUCCUUGACCCUGGCAACGGUUAAAAUUUAAUAUAUUACAUCAUGGUGCUUCUGAUAUCAACAAAUAUGGUUAGCAAGCUAAAGAGAUACUACCCAGUGCCUGCCAAGAUCCCUUCCUCUCCCCUCUCUAAUGUUCUUCAAGAGCGACCAGGAAAGAGCCUGGAGCCCGGCCCGACUCCGGAUCCUUGCCGCCGGCAUUGCCGGUCGGGAAGGAGAUGGAGGAGGUGCUCGGAGCUCCCCUGUAGGUAGUAGCCCCUUAAGGGAUUUCGGCUUGAUGCCGGGGUGUGGCGCUAUGCCGUUAGGGAGUCUGCCGUGGCCGUGGUCGAGCAACGGCGAGCGGCGCUUGGCGGUGGGGAUUCUCGUGGCGGCCGGCGGUCGGUUGCUGCGGAGGUCAUCGCCGGCAACUCCAGAAAUAAGCUCGAAGCUUGUGGUGUCUCUGUUCUGCAAGGGAUCCAGUAGCUUUUCUCCUCGCUGCUGUGGUCACCAUGGCGGUGAUUCUCCGGCGAGAAGGAAGCGGCGGGCUGGAGUUCUCAGAUCGUGAUUGAGCACAUCAGUGGCAGUCAUCGCGGAGGAGCUACGGCGCCUGUAAAUGGCCGCUGGCUUCCUCCUGGCUGCUGCGUCUUCAGGCCGAAGGGCGGCCAACCUUAUUCCUCCCUGCCGAGUGGCUAAAUGGGAGGCAGUUCAUCCUCCGAUCGGUGGCCAUGGACGAGCGCCAUGGCAGUUUCGUCGUCCCAAGUGGUGCCGUACCCGGCGACGGCGAGGAGAUCACCUAGAGGAGGCUGAGGACCCGAUUGCUUUUCUUCAUCCUUGUUCUGGGUACUUUUUGCAAAGUUCAGGGACUUGUUUGUAUUUCCCAGUCUUUAGAGGGUCCUGUUGUACUAUGUGCUAAGCUCACUACUAAUGAAUAAAGUUCUGGGAUCCUUGAUCCUACUUUUAUAAAAAAAAAAAAAGCAAGCUAAAGAGUGUCACUGUGUCCGAGUGAUAUCUGAAUGCAGAAACUACAAUUAAAAACAACCCAUGGCAUUUAAGGUCACAUUUACUAUCUGACUGACCUUUCUACUCCAGCUUCAUCCAAUCUACGGUAAAAGCUUGGUCUAAUUUUACCUCAUUUGACUGCCUGGAAGGCUGAAGUGGAAACAAACAUUGGAUUCCCUGUGUGAUGUUAUGUGCAUUCCAGAAAGUAGGUGUUCUGGAACGGAUUUUAGAGAAAAUGAACAGAGCGACUAUUGCUGUCCUC